UGGGGAAUUUUGGACAAUGGGCGAAAGCCUGAUCCAGCAAUGCCGCGUGUGUGAAGAAGGCCUUCGGGUUGUAAAGCACUUUUGUCCGGAAAGAAAUCCUUGGCUCUAAUACAGUCGGGGGAUGACGGUACCGGAAGAAUAAGCACCGGCUAACUACGUGCCAGCAGCCGCGGUAAUACGUAGGGUGCAAGCGUUAAUCGGAAUUACUGGGCGUAAAGCGUGCGCAGGCGGUUUGCUAAGACCGAUGUGAAAUCCCCGGGCUCAACCUGGGAACUGCAUUGGUGACUGGCAGGCUAGAGUAUGGCAGAGGGGGGUAGAAUUCCACGUGUAGCAGUGAAAUGCGUAGAGAUGUGGAGGAAUACCGAUGGCGAAGGCAGCCCCCUGGGCCAAUACUGACGCUCAUGCACGAAAGCGCGGGGGAGCAAAACAGGAUUAGAUACCCCUGGUAGUCCACGCCCUAAAACGAUGUCAACUAGUUGCUGGGGGAUUCAUUUUCCUUAGUAACGUAGCUAACGCGUGAAGUUGACCGCCUGGGGAGUACGGUCGCAAGAUUAAAACUUAAAUGAAUUGACGGGGUCAUAGCUG
This 585-nucleotide ribosomal RNA is filed under the name uncultured bacterium. RNAcentral describes it as "partial 16S ribosomal RNA". It matches the Rfam family "Bacterial small subunit ribosomal RNA", at positions 355 to 932 of the family's 1533-position model. The record is from RNAcentral.